GGCCUUAUUUCGUUGCAAGUAAUAAAUUGCUGUCUAUUGUUUAUGUGAAGGAAUGUAAAACUCAAUUCUGCCGUCAGUUUGUUAACGUAGCUUGAGCAUAAUACAUUGUCAACAAGCAAUUUGAUUUUAUGACGCCUCCCUUUCUUUUGCUUUUUAAAAAUGCAGGUCAGUUUGAACUACUAGUUGGUUACUGCAUAAAUGUUAGGCCUGUAGUUGCUAUGGCGAUGUGCCAUUAGCAGUGAGCAGGUACUCUCAGCAAUAGAUAUAUUCUUCCAUCAGGCCUGUCAAAAAUGUACCAGGCCAGUACAUUUGGCACCACGCUGCUAUAUUUUAACUCUGAAUCACAGUUUUCAGGCAGUGCCUGGCAGAACUAUUUUCGUCUUUUGUAUGUUGUGUUUCCUUGCUCACUUGACUGACGCCUAUAAUCACAUGAAGAGUAAGUGCACCUUGAGGAAUAAAAGGCCUUUUGUUGACAACUAAAUGGUAGGUGGGGGUUUGGAAUGAUAGACAGAAAAGUUACUGGGGUGAGGUUGUGGAAGGUUUGUGCAGGAGAGGAUAAUAUUGGUGUGUGUUUUUGCUUAAACCUCCCCCCCCCCCAAAAAAAACCCCCCUGGGAUACAGCACACAACGUCAUCAAGAAGGAUGCUAUUUAUCUAGAACAAAAACAAGUGUUACAAGACAGUAAACAAUGACUCUUUGUCCUGUGUCUGGAAUCUUUUAGUAUACUGCAGCUUUCCAUGUUAAAGACAUAUAUAUAUAUAUAUAUAUAUAGCAUUUGUGUAUCAGACAAGGUAUACUAUUCCACAUAUACAAGGUAUAAUUUAAAAUGCACUGAAACCUUCUAUACAGCUUUGAUGAAGUAUGUGUAUGCAUUCUUGCCCCUCUCUUGAUUGAAAAAAGUGCAUUAUUUAUGAACCCAAGAAAACCUUGACCAAUAUAAAUGAGCACGGCUUUGGAAAAUGCCUGCCUAUUUUGCUCCCCUUGUGAAUAUCAGUUCAAUUAGUUGCUUGCACACUGAUUCACAAUGGGAUCUUUCUGCCUAACACGAUUGCUGUUACUUGAGGGGGAAAAGCAACUGAUGUGAUUUUGAUGCCCAGUAAAGUGAUAGGUGCAGCGGUCCCUAUGUACAUUAACUCUUAAACAAGCUGAGCCAAGCUGAAUGUGGCUUACUCCCAGGUAAGUAUGCAUAAGAUUGCAGCUGCUUCACUUAUGAAUAUUUGUGUCCACUUAUAUAAAGGCAGAACACACACCUCGUAACCUCACAAGAUGAACCGUUGCUGAGUUGUAGCAGUUGAAAUUUCAAAUGGAGGAAUCAGAUAUUUGAAUGCUUCCCUCUAUCUUUAAAGUUUCCCUACAUAGAAAAGGAAGCAUCACAAGGAGAAGCCUAUAAUCCUAGGGGGUGGACAAUAGGACUAUUUCUUAUCUGUGUCACUUUUGAAUGUGUUCACCCAUAGUCUAUCCUAACCUGUUUCUGCAUCAAUUUUCGAUUUCAAAAGAAAUACUCAUCAAAAUUCACAUUUAAACACACAUUUCUAGAGAUAUUUCAGCAACACACAUUUUGAUGUGUUUUUGCUCUUGAAAUACACAUUUUAAAAUAUAUUUUGAACAAUAUUUGAACGAAGCUGUUUCACACAUGAAAUACAGUGGUACCUUGGUUCCCAAACGACUUGGCUCCUGAACAAAUCGGCUCCCGAACGCUGAAAACCCGGAAGUAAGUGUCCCAGUUUGUGAAUGUUUUUUGGAAGCCAAACGUCUGUUUUGGCUUUUUCUGGGGCCGAUCAGUCAACCAGAAGCCAUGCCUUGGUUUGCAAACGUUUUGAAAGUCAAACGGACUUCCAGAACGGAUUGAGUUUGGGAACCAAGGUACCACUGUACAUCAUUUGAUGUUGAAGUCAACACGUGAUAAAUAUGCACAAGUGACAUCAUUCCUUCAUCACAAUUUAUUAGCAGCAUCUUCUUCUCCCCUCCCACCAUACCAUUAUGAAGAAGGAAUCAGUCUUCCUGGCAGGUGACUUGCUGUGGCAUAAUGGGGGGCAAAAGAGCAGGUGGGCAGGUGGGCGGGCAAAAGGGCAGGUGAGUGGAUGGGCAGGAGGGCUGGUGGGCAUUUAAUUGCCAUGCUAACACACCAGCAGAGGCAAUCCAGCACUCCUGCUGGUGCAUUUGCACCAAGUCACCAUGCCCAUCCCUGGAUACCACAAAGACCUACCUGCCAAGAAGCUAGUAUAGUGGUUUCACACGACUUGUUGAGCACCUUCUGGUGCAACUUUUGUUUAUGCAAAUGCUUCUAGCUCACAGAUGUUCCCAGCUCAUUUCUGAGAGCUGAUAUUCUAGUGUAGAAAUUUUCCCUUACAGAUAUUGACAUCUGCAUAAACUUAUCUGCACUGCACAAAUUAUUUUGCUUGCAUCACAACUGUAGAGCAAGAAAUCUCCAGCAGCACCAAAGGACUCAAAUGUGUAUUUUAUUGACUUUCAUAAUUUUUUUAGUUCCUUCAUCCUCUCCUCUAUAUGGGAGUAUAAUUAUAGAAUUGCCCAGCAGAGCAAGUACCCCAAACUUUUAACAACAACAGCAACAAUUUUUAUCCCUUUACUCUUUUUACACUGUGGCACAGCAUACAACAGUCUAUGUCUUUACAUGCCCCAUAUACAGCAUCAGGUGCAGAGCAGGUGAGUAUAGCUUUGGAGAAAUGGCCUUGUGGGCCAAAUUAGAACUCUGCAUGGCCUAAUUUGGCCAGUUAGCCAGAAGCUCCCUAUGCAGACAUUUUCACCGUGUAGGUGAAGCGGUUAAGUACUCUGCAUUAUCUGAACCAUAUUUAGUGCUCAAAGAUAAGCUGCUAAAGAAGUACUGAAAACAGGCACAGCUUUUAAGCAGUCUAUCAAGCUGGAAAAAGAAAUGUUUAGGAAGGGUACCAAGGGAGCAGGACUGAAAUCAUACAUCCAUAAACUUUAAGUACCACAGUGCGGCUUUAUGUAAAAAAAAAAAUCUAAUAAACCCUAUUUUCCCCCACCCCACCUUGGUUCAGGAUCAGCAGCAAGGUUCUAUCUGUGUUCAUUUUCUAAAUCAUAUCCAUGUCACACAUACCCAAAUAUCCACGUAAACGUUUCCUCCCAGUACAUUUCUGAGCACAGUUCAAAGUGUUGGUGCUGACCUUUAAAGCCCUAAACGGCCUCGGUCCAGUAUAUCUGAAGGAGCGUCUCCACCCCCAUCGUUCUACCCAGACACUGAGGUCCAGCACCGAGGGCCUUCUGGCGGUUCCCUCACUGCGAGAAGCAAAAUUACAGGGAACCAGGCAGAGGGCCUUCUCGGUAGUGGCGCCCUCCCUGUGGAACGCCCUCCCACCAGAUGUCAAAGAGAACAACAACUACCAGACUUUUAGAAGACAUCUGAAGGCAGCCCUGUUUAGGGAAGCUUUUAAUGUUUAAUUUACUACAGUAUUUUAAUAUUUUUUUGGAAGCCGCCCAGAGUGGCUGGGGAAGCCCAGCCAGAUGGGCAGGGUAUAAAUAAUAAAUUAUUAUUAUUAUUAUUAUUAUUAUUAUUAUUAUUAACAUACCAUCAGGAUCAGCACGAGGGGUUAGCAAGUAGGAAAUUCUAAACAUAUGUUUUAUUCCUAAAAAGCAACUUUUGAAAGGGGUUACUUGAAAUGGGAAGUCAGGUGGGGCACGGGGGGGGGGGGGGCUAUAACUCUUUCUCAAGCAACCACAUACUUUGCAUAACUAGCAAAUGAGGUGCAUAAUAUGUAAUUAAUGCCAUCUAGCUUUAGAGGGACUUGAAUAUGGCAAUCCUACCCUAACCCGCCAUGGAGCUGAGCAUUGUACUUCGGCAAACCCAGUCCAAAUGAAGCUUGCUUUGUGUAUGCAUGUGUGCAUGAUCAAUUUUUAACAAUAAGGCUCAUUAAAGAAGGUUUAUGUGUUGCACCAUUAUAACCAGUUGCUGUCCGGUGUAGCUGAAACUAAUGUCUAUGGAAAAAACCUGAAGAUAUUUAAUGGAUUCUUAUGGUGGCAGAUGAAAUUUGAGAUUCAUCAGAAGCAAAGCACAUGAAUCUGAUUUGCAAAUUCGGAGCAGAGGGGAAACAUUAGUUUCUUCAGUGCUGUAAAAGCUACAUACUGCUUCAUCAUAACUCAUUGCAUUGGAGAUGGAGACAGAAACAUUGAAAGAGUUACUUGCUUUAGAUCAUCAUCCAGAUAAAUGUGUUCCAUUACAUGCAGGCCUUUGGAUGGUGAGCAUCUCCCUACAGGGUAGAUAAAUCUGUAUUUGGGCAGUCUGUUAAAAAUACAUUAACUAUUUUAAAUGCAUCAUUAGGCAUUCUUUUAUUGCCUUUACCUAUGGACCUUACAACUCAAUAUGCAGUAAAGAAAAAUGUAGGAAUUAACAAUGAACAUUUCUAUAUGUGUUAUGUAUGGGUAUUGAUUUUUAAGCCAAUGAAUGUAAUUAUAUUAAAAACUAUGGACAUCAGCAGAAAGUAAUGAAUUUGUUUAUGUGAGCAAAGAAGCUGUCAUCCUGUUCCAUCAGUUCUUUAGCAGAGGCUCACUAUUAACCAAGCAUCAAGAAAUCAUGGAGGGAAAAAUGGCUGUAUUAUCUCAUUAAUGCAAAACUUUUGCAUUUUUUUGUAUUUACAACAUAACCCCAUAUACAGGGCAGAGUAAAUCAUUCCACUGAAAUUUCAACACACAACUGGUUCAAUUUUACUCUCUUAUCUGCAUAUGUAUAAUUCUGAGUUUACUGAUGUGGUUUCGUGUGUAGCGAUCACACAAGAAAUUUCAUGAAGCUCAUCAAAACUGCUUUUGUUUCUUCUUUUCUUAGAAUGCCCCAGAUUAUUAUUAACCAAGCAGAAACCUCCCACCCAGCAUGUUCCAUGACAAAGGGGAAAUCAGUGCUUUUCAACAUGUCAUUCUGUGGGUUGCAGCAUUACACUUUGAAUCUCUCACUAAAUUAUUCCUGUAUUUCUAGGUUGGAUUAACCACAGUAAGGUUUCAAUCUGGUUGAAUCAAUUUAGUGCCCACAUCCCAAAUGUAUUGAGACUUGUAUUUGUAGAGUGGAUUGCCUAUGUCUGAUAAAACAUGCAUAACAAAACAUAUUGUCUCUCCCAAAAUCUGUGCUAUAGCUUUCAUUGUUGCAUUGCAGGGACAUAACAUCUCAGCGACCAAACUCCUGUGCUGCUGUUUUUUAAUCAUCCAAAUAUGACACGGAUCCUGAAUUGCACUGCAAUCCGACAUCAAAGCAGUGAUUCAGUUCAAUGGGGAGCAAUAGAUGCUGCACAGAACACCAUGACAGGCUUGCAAGACACGCCCCCCUCUGAGAGCCAAUGAGCAUUGUGAUGGAAGCAUAAGACAUUUUGCUGCCUGAGGCAAAGGACAAAAUGACACCCCACUCCUUCUGUGUACAGAAGAUGUCCAGAUUGGUAGGUGAAUCUAACUUCAACACUGGCAAUGGUGAAUGGAUAGCAUUCUCCAUUGCACCCAAGGGCAGCAAGCUAGGUUAGGGGAAACAUGGCACGCUGUGUGGCAGGAACAACUCCACCCUUCAGCAUUUGCUGCCACUCUCUGCAUGUCAACAUCUGCCUGAGGUCGCCACUACACUCUGUGAAGACCUCCUUCUACAUAGAACAGACCUACCAAGUUUAGUUGUGGCCUGGGCAGGCCAGUCUUCCUGUUAUAUACCUGCUGGGAUUGACAGGGCAUAUGACCUUCACCUGGAUCUCAUAGCUCUCCUGACAGGUGAUUUGGUUCAGCCACAGUGUGGAAAUAAAGGAGGAUACACACACUCUAUUAUUCAAAUUAGGCCCCAGUGUUUUUCUUACAAUCCCCUUCUCAAUGAAUUAAUCACAUUUAAACUAGCAUGUAAAUUCUCAAAACUUUCUUAUUUGUUAAUUCGAGCCGCUACUGCUCUCACUUCAUUACAAGCGUAUUUCUACCUGCAACACACUUGAGCAAACCUGCUCCUCUUCCUUUCACAGAUAUUUUGUUUCCAUUUGCAACUGUAGCUGCCUCUGAUUAGUUAUCAUUUAACUCUUUGAGGGAAAUUAACAUCAGACGUCAUGUGCAUGGAAGUUGCCAAAUCAAUUAACCAACUAGAAGGGUUACUGUUAAUAGCACCAGUUUUCCUAUAACUUGAUAUUGCUGGAUAGUUCUGAUGAACUACAAAAGUGUUUUUAGAUUCAGGUAGGUAGCCGUGUUGAUCUGACGCAGUCGAAAUAUAUAAAAAUAAAAAUAAAAAA
Molecule: non-coding RNA, 6212 nt
Organism: Podarcis lilfordi (Lilford's wall lizard)
Lineage: Eukaryota; Metazoa; Chordata; Lepidosauria; Squamata; Lacertidae
Source: the annotation of a GenBank genome assembly